RNAcentral lists this long non-coding RNA (23131 nucleotides) under Triticum aestivum (bread wheat). Its description in RNAcentral is "long non-coding RNA (TAES_LNC004164)". Lineage: Eukaryota; Viridiplantae; Streptophyta; Magnoliopsida; Poales; Poaceae. The record is from RNAcentral.
UUCUUUUUUGUUUUUGUUCUUCACUGAGAUUUUAUAUUUCAUUGGAUUUUAACAUGACAUAGUACUAAUUUAUUUUUAAAUUUGUUUUAGUAUGGCUAAUAAUUUUUGGAUUAAGAAUAUUUUGUUCCCCAGCAAAAAAUUGCGAAUUUUCAAAAUUUCGCACAUUUUUAGUUCAAUUUUUUAACCCUGGUACUGACGAGAAAAUGGGCAGCAAUUCUAAAAAUGGAAAAUGGGCUGCAAUAAAUUCCAUAUGAAUGAGAAAAUGAGUAAAAAUUAUAAAAAUAAUAGCAAAUGGGAUGUACACGCCACAAAUUUCGAGGCUGACUUGUUUACGCAAGGUUUUGUCAGUCAACACACGAUUCUAGCAGCAGUGACUGUUGGAUGUCCAUCCAACGGCCGACGUGCUUCUGCAAUCUCUGAUCUUCCUCCUCCAGCCGCCUAAACCAGCGCCGGCGGUAGUGCCUGCUCCGUCCUCUUGUGGCCUGCUGUCAUGCCGCGCAGGCUUCACCGGCCCACCCUACUCCCUCCGCUGGCUUGGCCGCACGCAAUCAACUGCCUCCUUAUUACGCGGAAAAAAAUGAUUCCUCCCACUGACAUCUGGGCCGCAGUGGUUCGAAGGCUGACCUGUGGGCCUACUAAGUUGAUGCGUACGCAGGGCUUUGUCAACUUAGUCAACAAACAAUUCUAGCAGCAGUGACCGUUGGAUUGAAUCGAACGGUCCUACUGUUUCUUCAAUCGUUGCUCUUCUUGCACCAGCCGCCCAAACCAGCGCCGGCAAGACCACCUGCUCCUGCCUCCAGUGGCCGGUUGUGCUGCCGUUGAGGCCUCACCGCCCCCUACUACUCCCACCGCUGGCCAGGCCCUGCGGCGACGGCAGGCUCACACCGCAGCCGAACCAGUGAAACCUCGUACUCCUCUCCGCGUGGGCAUCCACUGCCGCGUCUUCCCCGGCUCCGCGUCGUCCCCUUCCUAGGCCUCACCGUCGUCCACCGCCCUGGUGCUCUCGGCGCGCUGUGGUCAACGUGGUCAACGAACGACAUCCAUCGGACAUGGACUUUACGUGGAGAGGCUGACAGCUGGGUCCAUGGCCGCACACAAGGAAAUGCCUCCUUAUUACGCGCAAAAUAAUGAUUCCUCCACCUGACAUCUGGGACCCACCAGAAGGGCCUCUGUAUUUCGCAAAAAAAAUGUUCCCCUGCUAACAGGUCGGACCCACCAGCUAUAUCUUCGCACGCAAGGAAGUGCAUCCUUAUUACGCACACAAAAAUGAAUACUCCCCCUGCUAGCUGGGACCCAGCUUAGUGGGAAGCUGACAUGUGGGCCUACUAAGUUGACGGGGACGGAGGGCUUUGUCAACUUAGUCAAUAUGAACGAUUCUAGCUCCAGUGACCGUACGAUGUCCAUCCAACGGCCGUAGUGCUUCUUCAACCUCUGGUCUUCUUGCUCCAGCCGCCCAAAGCAGCGCCGGUCGUGCCGCCUGCUCCUGCCUCCUGUGGCCGGUUGUGCUGCCGUGGAGGCCUCACCGCCCCCUACUACUCCCACCGCCGGUUAGGCCCUGCGGCGACGGCAGCCUCACACCGCAGCCGAACCAGUGAACCCUCGUACUCCUCUCUGUGUGGGCAUCCACUGCCGUGUCUUCUCCGGCUCCGCGUCGUCCCCUUCCUAGGCAUCGCCGUCGUCCACCGCCUUGGUGCUCUCGGUGCGGCGUGGUCAAUGUGGUCAACGACCGACUUCCAUCGGAAGAGUACUGUACGUGGAGAGGCUGACAACUGGGUCCACGGCCGCAGCAAGGAAGUGCCUCCUUAUUACGCGAAAAAUAAUGAUUCCUCCACCUGACAGCAGGGACCCACCAGACGGGCCACCGUAUUUCAUAAAAAAACGUUUCCCCCUCACUACUGGGACCCACUAGCUACAUCUUCGCACGCAAGGAAGUGCGUCCAUAUUACGGGCAAAAAAAUGAUUCGCCUCCUGACUGCUAGGACCCACCAGCUACAUCUUCGCAUGCAAGGAAGUGCCUGACCGUCGGGACCCACCUGAUCGAAGCGUACGUAGCAUUGUCAUUCUGGUCACGAUCGUGUACGUACAUACUGGUCGAUGUAGAGGCGCGCACGUAGCAUGUACAAGUACGUACAGCGGCCAGGGUGCAAGAAAGAAAAUACGGCCACAUACGUACAUACGGGCGGGGUCUCGAACGCCUACUCGCGCAUACGUUUGGCCAGGGCUCGUGUACAUGGCUGGGUCGGAACGAAGAAGUUGCACCAUCGUCGUGAUCAUGGGGAGGCAACCGGCUGGGUCGGAACGGAAUGCAUCGUCGUGUUCAUCGGGAGCCAACCGGCUUGGACGGAACAGCCAUGGAAACGAGGCCUGGCGUACCGCAGAAAGGAGGAAACGGCCUUGUGUUCGACCGGCCACGGUCGAAACGGGCUCCUGUUCAUCGGUAGGGGUCUGGCGUACCGCAAAACGGAGGAAACAGACCUCCUACGGUCGAAACGGGGUCCUGUUGAUCGGGAGGGGUGUGGCGUACCGCAAAAUGGAGGGAACGGACUUGUGUUGGAGCGCUACGAUCGAAAUGCGGGUCCUGUUCAUCGGGAGGGGUGUGGCGUACAGCAAAACGGGACUCCAUGGGAUACUGUUCAUCUCCACCGUCGACUGCCUCCACGGGCUAGUGUUCAUCCACCGUCGACUGCCUCCACGGGCUACUGUUCAUCCACCGUCGACCUCCUCCAGCCUCCACCUGCGACUGUUCAUCCACGGGCUCCUGUUCAUCCAGCCUCCACCGCGUGCUCCUCCACCGGCUACUGUUUAACCAGCCCUCUUCACUGGGUCCUGUUCAACCACCCCUCCACGGGCUACUGUUCAUCCAGCCCUCUACCGGCUACUGUUCAACCAGCCCUCCACGGGGUCGUCCUAUUCAUCCAGCCCUCCACGGGGUCCUAUUCAUCCACCCCUCCAUGGGGUCCUGUUCAUCCACCGGCUCGAUCGGUCGGGGUCCUGUUCAUCCAGCGGCAACGGCCUCUACUACCACGGGGUCAUGUUCAUCCAACCACCCACCGGGAACUGUUCAUCCAAACCCCCCAACAAUGCUCACUGUUCAUCAAGGGAACGAGGCAGCAGUGUUCGAUCGGCUUCAGUUAGUAGCAGUAGCGAAGGAAUCACUCGGGUUCAGUUAACAGCAAGGGAUCGAUCGAUCGCUCAGUUUCAGUAAUGCGUAGCCUGCAGUGCAAUCGCUCGGGUUUAGUUAGAGCCCAACGCCUCGCUCGGGUUCAGUUAGAGCGCAACGCCUCGCAUACACGCGCGUACGUAUGAGAGAAACGUGCAUCGCUCGGCCCCCGACCACCCACCGUAACCGGGAACUCCCCGAUAUUUUCCUCGCCCUCGCUUUCUACCACGGUUUUUUCCAUCAUGGACGGCCCAAAGAAUGUCAUGCGGCUGCGUAUCCGGCCCGCCCAGGACGAAAAGCCCAUUUUCUGUCAUGAUUUUUUGUCAUAGAAGUAGGAGCCCACAUCAUCUAUAAUGAUACCGGGUUUUGUCACAAUUAUCAUCAUAGAAGUGUCAUAAGCAUGACAGAAAAAAUUUGUUCGGCCCAAAAUGUCACGGAUGUGUCUUUUUUUUGUAGUGCAAGCCCUUUUGAGGAGGCUUCUUGGUGAAGUUGUUCUUGCUAGGGAAAGACUUGGCUUUGUCUUUGCGAAUGAGUUUGCCACCAUUGUCUUCCCUCUUCUCGUAAGGGCAAUCCGCCACAAAGUGACUCACAUUGCCGCAAUUGUAGCAAGUCCUUACUUGUUGCUUGUUCUUUGACCCACUUGAGUUGUUCUGAGUGAAGUUGGGCCUUGAGUUCCUCUUGUUGCUCCAAAAUUGCCUUGACGCAAGAGCCAUGUGCUCAUGGUAAGCAUAUUUGGUGUCCUCGGGGCCACACUCUUCUUCUUCCGGAAUGGCCAUGGCCUUCAAAGCAAGGGUGGGAGUGCUUUUCUUUGACCGGACACGACCAAGAGCAUUGUCGGCGGUCUUGUUCAUGAUGUUCAUGGCAAUAAACUCAUCCAACACUUCACUUGAGGUUAAGGUGUGAAAAUCCGGCCUUUGACGAAUCACAGAAGACAUGGCCUUGUUGAAUGGCAUGAUGGCCUUGAGAAACUUGCGCUUGAUCCAAGUGUCAUCUGUAUCCUUGCUCCCAUGGUCUUGGAGAGCAACCGCAAGAGUAGUCACCCUCCGGUAGAGAUCACGCGGAUCCUCAUCUUCUAGCAUCAUGAAUUCAUCGGCCUCAUCAAGGACCACUUCAAAGUUGGACCGUUGGAUGUUUGAGCUCCCCUUGUACAUAGAAACAAUGUGCUCCCAAUAAUCCUUUGCACGAGUGAAAGGAUGUAAGUGAGAUAGAUCUUCGGGUGGGACCGCAUCUUGAAGGAUGAACAAAGCGGAGUGAUUGUAUUGAUUGUCCACUUCUUCUCUUGGGAUGAAGUUGUUUGGAUCAUGCGGGUAGAAGCCUUGCUCAAUGAUUCUCCAAAGGUUAGUUGAGUAGUGGUUCAAAUGAGACUUAAUACGAAAGACCCAAUUAGCAAAAUCACCCUUAACAAGUUUGGGAGGAGGACCAUGAUUAUUAAUGCGAGGUGUAGAGACCGGUCCUCCAUAGACCGGGGGAGGGGGAACUGAGGCAAAGGUUCCCGUCCCAUUCUUGUUGUGAGAGGAAGAGACAUGAGUACCUUUAGCCACUUCCUUAGCGGAAUUGGCCUCCGACUCUGAUGCGGUGGUAUUGACAACAAGCAAAGGAUCGGGAGAAGCUUUCAUCCCCUCAAGCAAUUCUUUAAGCAUAGACUUGACUUUGGUCAUCAUAGACGUCUUAAGUGAAGCCAUAGCUUUAUUUAAGUCGUCUCGUGUGAUGGAAGUCAACUCUACAGCCUCGAGCACUUCCUCCCCGGUGUCAACCAUACUCUUUGGGUGGUGAAACCCUUAAUAAAGAGACGAGGCUCUGAUACCAAUUGAAAGGAUUGAUAUGGUUGACUAGAGGGAGUGAAUAGGCAACUACCAAUUUUUAGCUUUUCUUAACAAAUUAGGUUUAGCAACAAAAAAGGUUGUCUAGAUGUGCAACUAGGUGAGCAACCUAUAUGAUGCAAACAACAAAGUUCCUUCCCUUUGGGGGAAGUACGUCUCCGUUGGAGCGGUGUGGAGGCACAAUGCUCCCCGAGAAGCCACUAGGGCCACCGUAUUCUCCUCACACCCUCACACAAUGCAAGAUGUUGUGAUUCCACUAGUGGCGCCCUUGAAGGCGGCGACCGAACCUUUACAAACAAGGUUGGGGCAAUCUCCACAACUUGAUUGGAGGGUCCCAAUGAUGCCACGGAGCUUCACCAUAAUGAAAUGUGGCUCCGAGGUGACCUCAACCAUCUAGGGUGCUCAAACACCCAAGAGUAACAAGAUCCACAAGGGAUUAGUGGGGGGAUCAAAUUUCUCUUGGUGGAAGUGUAGAUCCGGGCCUUCUCAACCAAACCCUAGAAAAUCAACAAGUUUGAUUGGUUAGGGAGAGAGAUCGGGCAAGAAUGAGCUUUGGAGCAACAAGCUUGGGGGAAAAGAGGUAGAUCUUCUUGGGGAAGAAGACCCCCUUAUAUAGUGGGGGGGACAAUCCAACCAUUAUCCCCUCAUUCAGCCUGCAGCGAGCGGUACUACCGCUGGCCGCAGAGGUACUGCCGCUCGGCCCAGCGGUACAACCGCUGGGACCGUGCACAGCGCCUAAGGGAGAAGGGACGGAGGAGAGGGCCACUGAGCGGCACUAAUAGCGGUAGUAGGCGCGGUACUACUGCUUACAAGCGGUACUGCCGCUCCUACUGCCGCUGAACCCGACACAAGACACGCAGGUCUCGAGUCGAGGCGGUACUAGCACGAAACCAGAGCCGUACUACCGUCUGUGGCCAUGGACGGUACUACCGCUGUGAAACAGCGGUACUACCGCUUGUGGCUUUCAACCGUACUGCCGCUCCGGGCCGUGGUACUACCGCUGGCGCCUCCCUUAUGCCACUUCCACGAUAACAAGUAUACUCCAAGGAUGAGGGAAGGAGUUGGGGGUGCGAAAGAGAGAUGUGUACGUGUUGAUUCCACCCUAGCCUUUCUGAUAUGCACCCCCUCUUGAUAGUACGAUAUCUCCUACGACUCAAGUCCACCUAAACCGAAACGAAAGAUAACUACACCGUCUUCACUUUGAGCUCCGAGGGGAAUAAAUUGUCUCGUGCCAAUGAAUGAAUAUCUAAAAUGCUCAACGCACACGAUUAGUCCGCAAAUGCAUUGUCAUCAAACACCAAAACCACUUAGAGAGAGAUAUGCCCUAACACCAUGGCAUGCUUGUUGGUUGCCAACUCGAAGGAGAAGAUCUGUUGCAUCUGGUGGUAGUUCUGGAUAGGUGAUACGUCUCCAACGUAUCUAUAAUUUUUUAUUGUUCCAUGCUAUUAUAUUAUCUGUUUUGGAUGUUUUAUAUGCAUUAAUAUGCUUAUCUAUAUUAUUUUUGGGACUAACCUAUUAACCUAGAGCCCAGUGCCAGUUUCUGUUUUUUUCCUUGUCUUAGAGUUUCGCAGAAAAGGAAUACCAAACGGAGUCCAAAUGGAAUAAAACUUUCGCGAUGAUUUUUCUUGGACCAGAAGACAUCCAAAGGACUUGGAGUGCAAGUGAGGGAAGCCACGAGGUGGCCACAAGGACAGAGGGCGCGCCCAGGGCGGUAGGGCGCGCCCCCAACCUUGUGGGCCCCUCGUGACUCCAUCGACCUAUUUCUUGCGCCUAUAUAUUCUCAAAUAUUCCAAAACCAAUCAGGAGAGCCACGAAAACACUUUUCCACCACCGCAGCCUUCUGUACCCGUGAGAUCCCAUCUAGGGGCCUUUUCCGGCAUCCUGCCGGAGGGGGAUUCGAUCACGGAGAGCUUCUACACCAACACCAUUGCCCUUCCGAUGAAGCGUGAGUAGUUUACCACAGACCUACGGGUCCAUAGCUAGUAGCUAGAUGGCUUCUUGUCUCUCUUUGAUUCUCAAUACCAUGUUCUCCUCGAUGUUCUUGGGGAUCUAUUCGAUGUAAUACUUUUUUGCGGUGUGUUUGCCGAGAUCCGAUGAAUUGUGGAUUUAUGAUCAGCUUAUCUACGAAUAUUAUUUGAACCUCCUCUGAAUUCUUAUAUGCAUGAUUUCAUAUCUUUGCAAGUCUCUUCAAACUAUCGAUUUGGUUUGGCCAACUAGAUUGGUUUUUCUUGCAAUGGGAGAAGUGCUUAGCUUUGGGUUCAAUAUUGCGGUGUCCUUUCCCAGUGACAGUAGGGGCAUCAAGGCACGUAUUGUAUUGUUGCCAUCGAGUAUAAAAACAUGGGGUUUCCAUCAUAUUGCUUGAGUUUAUUCCUCUACAUCAUGUCAUCUUACUUAAUGCGUUACUUUGUUCUUCAUGAACUUAAUACUCUAGAUGCAGGCAGGAGUCGGUCGAUGUGUGGAGUAAUAGUAGUAGAUGCAGGCAGGAGUCGGUCUACUUGAUACGGACGUGAUGCCUAUAUUCAUGAUCAUUGCCUUAGAUAUCGUCAUAAUUUUGCGCUUUUCUAUCAAUUGCUCAGCAGUAAUUUGUUCACCCACCUUAAUAUUUUCUAUCUUGAGAGAAGCCUCUAGUGAAACAUAUGGCCCCCGAGUCUAUUUUCCAUCAUAUAAGUUUCCGAUCUACAAUAUUAGUUUCCUAUUUAGUUCCUUUGCAAUCUUUUACUUUCCGAUAUAUAAACCGAAAAUACCAAAAAUAUUUACUUUACCGUUUAUCUAUCUCCAUCAGAUCUCACUUUUGCAAGUAACUGUGAAGGGAUUGACAACCCCUUUAUCGCGUUAGGUGCAAGUUGUUGAUUGUUUGUGCAGGUAUUCGGUGACUUGUUCGUUGUCUCCUACUGGAUUGAUACAUUGGUUCUCAAAACUGAGGGAAAUACUUACUCUACUUUGCUGCAUCACCCUUUCCUCUUCAAGGGAAAAACCAACGCAAGCUCAAGAAGUAGCAAUAGGGGUGUUGAGGAACUCAGCGUCCUUGGGGUGAGCGUAAGAAGAAAUAGGGUAGACAGGGUAGUUAGUAUGGCAAUGGUUCAUAGGCUUGAAUUGUUGGUCUGUUAGAAUGGCAUGGUUUGUGAGCUAACCACGACAUGGCCUUGGUAGUGCUCUACCUCCAGAAGGAUCAAGUAGGUGUCCUCAUCCCAUGAAGCACCACUAAGGUCUCUGAGCUUGGACACUUGGAUCCAUCGAGCUCUCCACUUCCUCAGGUGGUUGUACACCUGGGUCGAGGUGACCUCCUAUCCACAGAAGUCGAACACCUGCUUUGCAAUAAGGUUCAAGUGCACCUCCUUGAAGCCCUUGUCAGUCCUCACCCCACUAGCUAUGAUCUCACACAUCUUGUUAAGCACAAAAGUGAAGAGGAACGGCUGCCACUUCAUGCUAUUCCCCUUGCCAUCCUUCUUCUCCUCUGCUGCUACCUUAAGAGCAGCAACAUGAGCAACAGCAUUGGGCUAAGCCAACACAAAUGGAGGAACCAUAGGCGGCACCUCGAAAACCUCUAAAUCAAGAGGCAUCUGUUCUAGAGGAGGCUGGGGGUCCUUGACGUAGGAUGGCGGGAACUGGCUCUUGGACAGCACGAUGGCCUGACUAAACUCUUGCUUGGUCAUGUCCUACAAACGUAAGUGUCAUCAACACCACAAGACACUACACAUAGACAGUAUGAACUAGCAGUACAAUAUGGACAGAUCGAACUAGCAGUACAUCUUCGACAGAUCAAACUAGCAUUACAUCUUGGACAGAUCAAACUAGCAUUACAUCUUGGACAAAUCAAACUAGCAGUAACACAUGCACAAGCAUACCACAGCAUAACAGAGCACUAAUCAUGGAGAACAGAGCACUAAUCAUGGACACAUGGAUGAUCUUGUUCAACACUUGCACACUAGCAUACCACCGAUUCAUCCAUGACCACUAGCUACCAACACUUCACUGGUACGCGUCGGUGCUAUACAAACGGUUUUAACCCCUUUCCGCGAUGGCAUUUGGAACCAUCGCCAAGUGAGUGUGGGCGAUAGGGGGGUCCUUCCCACACGACCCAGAAACCGUCGGGUAUAGGCCCUCCUGGCACACAGGCUGGGGAAAAAUGAGCUCGUGUGCGAUCGGGCGAGGCAUCGAAACCCAAUCGUUUCCAUUGUAUGUACAUCCCACACGGUGAAUCCCAGAAAAACAUUUCCGUUCUUAUGUAUAUCACACACAGUCAAUUCAAGGAAUACAUUUCCGUUCUUAUGUACAUCCCACACAGUCAAUCGAGGGAAAACGUUUUCGUUCAUAUGUAUAUCACACACAGUCAAUCCAAGAAAUACGUUUCCAUUCUUAUGUACAUCCCACACAGUCAAUCCAGGGAAAACGUUUCCGUUCGUAUGUAUAUCCACACAGUUUUAUGUAUAGGCUCGUGUGUGAAAGGUGUAACUAUCACGCACGCUCUGCCUUGGUUAACCGUUUGCUUUUAUCAACUACACCACACACGAUUUGAUGAAGAAAACUGUGUGGCAUUGGGCUAUCCAUCACAAGCGCUUUUACUGCCAGAACCGUUUGCAAAGUUCGAUGACUCAUUUAGCAGGUUUAUUAGUUUACAAUUAAUAAUUCCAGUAUUACGCAAAUUCACAUUUCAUAUCGAACAGCUGUUUGCCAAUUUCAUACCAGGCACAUAAAUAUAUUUUAACAUCACAGUACAAUAGCUACCUGAAAACAGCACAACACAGCAUAUAGCUAGUUCAACUUCAUAAGAACAAUAUAUACAUUUCCUUAAUCGAGAUCAUCCAGGCACGUCUUAUCCACCUCUGCUUUAAGUUCAGUAAGAACCUGUUUUGCACUGUCCAACUGGAAAAGUGCCUCCUCCUUCGCCAACACCAUCUUAGCAAAGUCUGAUUUAAAAAAAUCUGAGCUCAUUCUCCACCUUCCUCUUUUUAUCCCGCAUCUUCAAAUAUUCUUCAGCAUUGACAACACUUUCUCUAAGCCUACCUCUGUUCUCUUCCUCAUACAUGCUCUAGAGCUUUGUUAGGCACAUCUUCAAAGACUGUGGCCACUCUUGAUCAACCCACUCCAAGUAAGAACACUUCCAUUCAUCCUAUAAUAUUUAAAACUAGAUCGGUAACAAUUGUAGGGGAAAUGUGUUUAUAGCAACAUAGAAAAUCACCAAUAUUUAUUUUGAAAAACUGAAGAAACAGGUUAAUUAUGACAUAUCUUCUCAAAAAGAUCAAUGUGCAAAUGAAUUAAUUGCUACUGAGACAACAACCAAAUUCUAAAACAUCAGAAGCUAUAAGUAACUACAACAACGCUACAAGUUCUUACUCAUGUACUAUAAAUAACAAAUUGAACAUUUUAUGAGGAAUGUAAAUAACUGCAACAGCAUAGCGACAGUGUUUGGAUGACAGCAAAUUGAUACUAACAGGUGUGUACAUGCACAAAAUUAGUAACACUAAACUAAUAGCACUAAGGUCGUCCACUAUGUAUGCCAAAACCGGUGUAAAGACAACUGUUACUACAUCUCGCACCGGAGCCCUGCACUGGCGAGCCGAUGCAGCAGAAAAAAAAUCAGGGACCCGGACUCCGGAGCACCUAGUUGCUCCGAUGCCCAAUUCCUUCGUGUCAUAAAGAUUUAGUAUUUUACUGCUUGGCUGCUCGGAUGUGUGGACCAAAGUUGGCUGCACAAACUGCUGAAGCGGUGCCAAAUAAUUUUCUAAUGGCACCGCUGAUGAGAUGGCAACUUUUUUAGAUACUAGGUACAAACUGUGACACUAUCUUAGGAUGCGUUUGGUUGAAGGUGUGGUAUGAAUGGGUUGGGACCGUGACAGUGUCUGAAUCACAUGUAACAAAUGAUUUGUAACAACGAAAGAGGGUCUCACCUUCUCUGCACAUGCCAGAAACUUCCUCCCACGGUCCAUAGAUUCAAACGCAACUACCUUCACGCAUGGAGAUUGAUGGUGACAAUGAGCAGACAAAUCUUCAGCCACCCCGCUCCAUUCGUUGCAAUUGAUGGUCCUAGGGAGCUACAAGAGCAAGAAAUGACUCAAAUCGACCACCGGGUUAAAAUCCUUCAUUCCAAGUCAUAGCCCGAGAGAGAGAAGAGAGGCAUACCUGGGUGGUGAAGGAGUCGAAGGAGGAGGAGGAACCGUUGGAGAGGUCAUUAAAGAAGACCAUGGUGACCCCGGCGGUAUGCGAGAUGGCGAGAGCGAGGAAGCAAGUGAGGAAGCGGCUAUAGCUAAGGAAGGAAGGAGGAAACAUGGGAAAUGUGACUUGUGGUCGGGAAGAAAAGGGGGUGGGGAAGGGGGGAGGGGCGGGGUAGAUAUUUUGGUGGUAGGCCAAAAUUUUGGAAAUGUGGAGGGAAACUUUGCGCGCGGUGCCGCCGGACACCAUUCACUUUGAACGAUUGUGUGCAUCGCAAACGAUUCUUCUGCUUUACACGCAUGGGAUGAGUUUAAUAAUUCAAAUUUUCAUGGAAAUUUCCCUGGGUUCGUCAUUUCAUAAUUUAACAUCACUUGCUAAUUUGGGCACACAAAAGAGCGUACAGCACACAAACCACGCUUACUGAAUCGAGCAAUUUUAGUAAUUCAACAGAGCCAGUUGACCUUAACAUUGCUCUAACAAAAGACCAGCAUUAAAAACAAAGCCUAAGUACGCAUAAUUUUAACAUAUCCGCCGCCGCGCCGGCCUAUGCAUCGCCGGUGUGAGAUGAGACGUCGAUGACUUGUCCUGGCGACAUGCCGCUGUUGGUGGACUCCGCGUCCCCCCUGCUGAAGCCGACUGCGUCCUCGUCCUCGUCCUUGGCGCCGCCCUCAAGGUUGUAGUACUCGUAGUAGUGGCUGGGCCAGAGCCCGCGUUGGUACUCCAUGGCCGAUUCCUCGACGAACAGACUCUUCUCUACCUCGGCCUCGACCACGCGCAACUCCUCCUCCUGGCGCUCCUCGAUCUCUAUCGCCUCCUGCAUCUCCAGCUCCCGCUCGGCGACCUCAUGAGGAAGCAGGUGCUCCAUGGCCACCGCCGCCUUUUCAAACGUGGGUUGCAUGCUGGAGUCCGAGGUGGCCUGGAAUAUCUUGGCGUGUGCAUCCUCGAUCUUGGUGUGGAUGGCAUCGACCCGGGCCAGGGCCACAUCGGCGGCACGGACGGUAGCUCGAGCGCUCUCGGUGUUUGCAGCCGCCGUUGCAGCAACAGCUGCAGCCGUCUCGGCUGCCGCAGAUGCCCUCUCGGCGGAUGCGGCGGCACUCUAGGCGUAGGCAGACGCGCUCUCGACGAAGGCGGCGGCGCUCGGGGAGGACCCGGCCAUCGUAUGGGCCUUCACGAAGCGUUUCCACGGCGUCAUAUUUGCAAGAAGGGGGUGCGGGAAUGGGGAUCGGGAUUUGUGGAUUCGGGGGUUGCCGAAACUGGAGCAGACGAGCCGGCGAAGCUUAAGGAGGAAGACUUAAAUAGACCCAGAAAUUUUCAUCGCAAACGGUUCCUACAAAAAAUUUGUGUGUGAUGUUGUGGAUAUUUUUUAUUAGCUGUGAAAGACGAAUUUGGAGUAAAGUGGCAACGGAUGGUGUUUUAAAUGUACAAGAAAAUUUGUAGUACUAAUACAACUGUCAUGUAAAAUUUUGGAAAAUUUCAGGGGUCAUUUGACCUUUUAAGACAUUUAAGUGACUUUCUAGCCAUUUAAUGACCGUAAUUCAAAUUUGAACUACAUCUACAUGGAAGAGCUAACCAUAAUGGUUUGAAAAGUCAUAUUUUGUGUACUUGUGCGCGAUUUAAUUCCAUGUGCAGUAAAUUGGAAGAAAUUUUCACAUAUAUUUGUCUAACGGCUAUGACACAUAUAAGCAUGGAGUGCCAUGGCAUUUAAAUUCCAAAAAAAAGAUUAGAAACACAUGAAACCUUGCUUGAUGUAAUGUCAUACCACCAAGAUGAUGUGGUAAAAAAUUGGGCAUGUUUAACGAAAGUUUGGACACACACCCCUCACAAACUAAAGCAACUCACUAGAAGGCUCGUGGUUCCGAGAGGGAACAAUGUAUGUUUGAUGACGCACGGGCGAUAGCUUCCCCUUACGGCCUUCAAAUUUUUUCUACAUUUAACGUGCACUAAUACAACUGUCAUGUGAAAAUUCGGACAGGGGUCAUUUGACCUUUUAAAGACAUUUAAGUGAUUUUCUAGCCAUUUAAUGAACGUAAUUCAAAUUUUAACUACAUCUACAUGCAACAGCUAACCAUAACGGUUUGAAAAAUCAUAUUUGUGUACUUGUGUGCAUGUUAAUUCCAUGUGCAAUAAAUUAGAAGGAAUUUUCAAACAUAUUGGUCUCACGGCAUGGACACAUGCAUGGAGUGCCAUGGCAUUUAAAUUCGAAAAAAUAAAAAAAUGAUCAGAAAAAAGUGAAACCUUGCUUGAUGUAAUGUCAUUCCACCAAGAUGAUGUGGUAAAAAAAUUGGUCUGUUUGACGAAAGUUUGGACACACACCCCUCACAAACCGGAGCAACUCACUAGAAGGCUCCUGGUUCUGAGAGGGAACAAUGCAUGUUUGAUGACGAACGGGAGAUAGCUUCCCCUUACGGCCUUCAAAUUUUUUCUACAUUUAACAUGCACUAAUACAACUGUCAUGUGAAAAUUUGCAAAAUUUCAGGGGUCAUUUGACCUUUUAAAGACAUUGAAGUGAUUUUCUAGCCAUUUAAUGACCGCAAUUCAAAUUUGAACUAUAUCUACAUGCAACAGCUAACCAUAACGGUUUGAAAAAUCAUAUUUGUGUACUUGUGUGCAAGUUAAUUCCAUGUGCAGUAAAUUAGAAGGAAUUUUCAAACAUAUUGGUCUCACGGCAUGGACACAUGCAUGGAGUGUCAUGGCAUUUCAAUUCCAAAAAAUAAAAAAUGAUCAGAAAAACAUGAAACCUUGCUUGAUGUAAUGUCAUGAUACCAAGAUGAUGUGGUAAAAAAAUUGGCCUAUUUGACGAAAGUUUGGACACACCCCCCUCACAAACCGGAGCAACUCACUAGAAGGCUCGUGGUUCUGAGAGGGAACAAUGCAUGUUUGAUGACGAACGGGAGAUAACUUCCUCUGAUGGCCUUCAAAUUUUUUCUACAUUUAACGUGCACUAAUACAACUAUCAUGUGAAAAUUUGAAAAAUUUCAGGGGUCAUUUGACCUUUUAAAGACAUUUAAGUGAUUUUCUAGCCAUUUAAUGACCGUAAUUCAAAUUUGAACUACAUCUACAUGCAACGGCUAACCAUAACGGUUUGAAAAAUCAUAUUUGUGUACUUGUGUGCGAGUUAAUUCCAUGUGCAGUAAAUUAGAAGGAAUUUUCAAACAUAUUGGUCUCACGGCAUGGACACAUGCAUGGAGUGCCAUGGCAUUUUAAUUCUAAAAUAUUAAAAAAUGAUCAGAAAAACAUGAAACCUUGCUUGAUGUAAUGUCAUGCCACCAAGACGAUGUGGUAAAAAAAUUGGCAUGUUUGACGAAAUUUUGGACACACACCCCUCAUGAACCAGAGCAACUCACUAGAAGGCCCAUGGUUCUGAGAGGGAACAAUGCAUGUUUUGAUGACGAACGGGAGAUAGCUUCCCCUUACGGCCUUCAAUUUUUUUCUACGUUUAACGUGCAAUACUACAACUGUCAUGUGAAAAUUUGAAAAAUUCUAGGGGUCAUUUGACCUUUUAAAAACAUUUAAGUGAUUUUCUAGCCAUUUAAUGACCAUAAUUCAAAUUUGAUCUACAUCUACAUGCAACGGCUAACCAUAACAGUUUGAAAAAUCAUAUUUUUGUGUACUUGUGUGCGAGUUAAAAAAUCAUCAGACGAUGUAAAUAUCUGGUGUUCAAAAAAGAAAAUGUAAAGAUCUGGCAAGACAACCGGCCCCCACACGAUUGGCACUCUAUUUCGUGGCUCGAGGUUUGGUAGGUGAGUGGCGGGGGGUCAUUAAUCAGACACGGUUCUGUAUUGGAAACCAUCAGCUAUUAAGUUCACACACGGAUUUUGCUGCGGGAAUCAUGUGUAAUUCAUACUACAGUACUUGUAAAUUCCGGCGACCGGCGUGUGUACUGUUCCCGUCGAUCUAGAUUCUGGUCGCCAAUAAAUACUACCUUGCUCACGUCGUCCCGCCUGCAUUCUCAUCUACAUCCUCUCCUCGCUCGCCCUCUCUCUCUCUCUCUCAAAUCUCUGCCAUGGCGCCGCCGGUCUGCCCACGCGCCGAUGAGGAGUCGCCGCCCCCCGAGGACGCUCACUCGAAUAGCAGCGACGAGGACCCCUACGCACCACCGGAUGAGGUUGCGCCGGACCCCCCAACUUUGGAUUGGUUUUGGGGGCAGUACAAUCUUUGUCUGUGGAAGUCGCUGUCGCCGGCUGAGAAAGCCAGGAAAGUGGCAUUCAAGAAGGAGAUGGCGGAGGAGGAAGCCAGGUACCAAGCGGCCUGUGAAGCCCGUGAUGCCACCUGGAAAAAGGAGGCGGCAGAGCUUUGGGGGCGGGCGCGUCGUCGUGCGGAAGAGGUGUACGAAGACGGGUACUUCGCGAGGAAGGCCAAAGGCGCUGGGCGCCUCAUCACUUCGUGGAGGUGGGCCGAUAAGCUCCAGCAUGCCACCAACGAGGAGCUCCAGUGGGCGCCCAACGAAAUGGCAAGAUCGUUCGCGCUUGUCCGCCAGCAAGAGGUAGAUCGGUACGUCAAGUGCUGCAAGGCGGAGGAGGCAGAGUACUGCCUCCGCACUGGGAAGACGCCGCGCACCAGGGAGCUGCUGGCGAGGGGCUGCCGGAAUACUGGCCCCAGGAGGGAUUAUUAGUUUUAGUAUUGUUCGUUUUUCACUUUAUGCAUGGUAUCUAGUAGUUAAGUAUCAUCACUUAUAUGUGAUGAUAAUAUAUAUAUUAUGUGAUGAACCGAUGAAUAAUUAAUAUAUAUAUAUAUAUAUUAUGAAUUCCAUUUUCUAUCUGUUUUUGUAUACUAAUUUGAAUCUAGCUGUUAUCAUCCACGUAUACAGAAUGGAAAGCGUAUAUACAGACAUUGAAACAGAACAUAUAAGAACGGAAAACAGAGUACACACAUUGAAACAGAGCAAUACUAUGAUUGCUGUGAAUACAUAGCUAUCCACGUCGAAACGACUCAACAAAAUAAAACGCGUCCAUGAGACCAUGACCAGCAACCCUUGCCUACGGUAGCUCUUGGCUCUGCCUGAACUCAUGCAGGCGUUCGUCCAAGCGGUCGACACGCUCGCGGUACAUUUGGAGCGAAAUCUUGAGCUCCAAGUUGGCUAUUUCAUCAGAGGUCACCAGCUCGAGGAUGCGACGGCCAUGUUCCUCUACUGCGCCCAGGUGGACACCUAGGCCAAGGAGGCGGUCGAGCCUACCGACCAGCACGUUGGCAUCGAGCGGGCCGCGAACAAUGCGAACGGCGCGACCCAUGCGAACAGCGCGGCAGGCGUCCGGUGCAAGUACGGCGCAGAGGGCCUCUGCCCACUCCUAGAGAGGAAUGGGGGUACUGGCGGGACGUGUACCCAACUGUGACGCCCUGUUGACAGCAGGCAAGCGUUGAUGGAUCCGCUCUUGCUGUGGGGCGCGCCGCGCCUCUCGCUCUGCGGUGCUCCAACGGUCUCGCCGUGCGGCGAGCCGCAGCCUAUCGGCGCGGAUGCGCCUAGCUUGCUCUACGGUACACCAUCGAUCACGUUGUGCAGCGAGCUGCAGCCUCUCGGCGUUGACAUGCCUAUCUUGAUCCGCGGCGCUGAAGCGCCAUGCGCCAAGGGUCUGCUCAACCCUGGCGAUGACGCGCAUCACGACGUCGUCCAUCGCGUUGUCGGGGAGCUCCUCGGCCUCGACGGGCCGUGGCGCCUGCUCAUUUUCCUCGUCGACGAGGUUGAUGUCAGAGGCGGCGCUUUGGUGGGUUGGCAUGCUUGGAAAAGGUGGAUGUGCUACAGGAUGCGCUUGUUGCCUACGUGCGUCGCGCGCCGCCUAGGUUUAUGUGCAAUAUCGCUGGGUGGCGGGAAACAGGUGAGGAAAUGGCGGAAAAUGGUGGCGUUUUCAUAAAACACCAUCAAUUAAUGGAAACUUAGCAUGUAAGGAACAUCGAGCUAGCACAAGAAGUAGAUGAUGAUCAGAUGAACACGGACCACACUAGGGAACCCAUCGGUGAUGAACUCAUCAAUCGCAAACGGUUGUAUACUAGCAAGCGUUUGCCCACAACACACACAGCUUAUUUCAUCACAAACAGGUCGGAUGGAUCAAGUGUAUGCCACAUAUCGCACAUUGUCAAAAAUUAAUGCGGUAGACCUUCUUUAACAUGUGUUAAAAAACAAGGACCUCGAGGUUAAUUUAACUGAUGGGAUGGAUCAUAUAGGUCAUUUAAUUUGACCUGUAUGACCCAUCCCAUCAGUUAAUUUAACAUCAAGACAACUUCCCAUCCAGUCACCCGUCUGAUGGUUGCUCCAGCCUGAGCACAGUUAACUUGAGAGUUCUCUUAGAUGAGCUAUUGGUGGAACAGCUAGUCCUUACUGAUAUAGGAUGCCUCUUCGCAUCCUUACUACGUACCCGGAUGACCGCCCGUCGCCCAAUGGCCAAUAGAUGUUCUAUAGACAGAGCAUAUCACAUACGUCUUAUUAGAAGCAAUCGUCUGUGUUAUUAUCGGUCUUUGCACACAUUUUUUAUUACAGACCUGUUUGCUGCGUAUCACACACAUCUUGUUAUAUCGAACCGUUUAUGUUCUCUUGUCUCAACACAAACAGUUCAUCCGAGUGAACCACAUGCCAUAUAUCGUACACACCUUGAUCUGGCUGACCGUUUUUUUUGUGUUGCCUAACCACAAACAGUUCAUCCGAGGUGUUGUAUAACGCACACACCUUCAUCUGGUUGCCCGUUUCUUUUGUUCCUCCUCAUCGCAAACAGUUAAUUGAACUGAACCGUAUGCCCUGCAUCGAACACGCAACUAAAAUCUAAACCAUGUUUGAUGCAUCCGUCAUUGCAAACGUUUUGCACCUUUUUGACGGGUUUUUUACACCACCGUUUGCGAUUAUGGCAUCGCACACAGUUUCGUCGAAGGGUCUCUGAUCGUAGUGCCGCGUUAGCAGCAUCCUGCAGUAGUGCUUGCCCACAUGGAAACAAUCCCUAGCAUGCUCCAAAUCCAUCACAACUAGCUACUACACCAUCACAGUCAAACAGAUCGGACGGCCUAACCUUAGAACAUGGACAGAUCUAGCUAUAACUAGAAGAGAGGAGGUGGUGAUUGAACUUACAGAGGCCAUUGGAACGACCGCGUAGGAGGUGCCUGGCACGUCAGAAAGGAGGAGGAGUCGACCCGCCGGCGUAGUCGACCGGUCGCCGGAGUAGAUGCGCCGCUUACCUCGUCGUUGAAGUGGAUCCACGCUGGAGGGAAAGCUCAAGGAGGGGGGAAUGGUGGCUGGAGUUUUGCCGCGGCGGUGACCCUCGAUAUAUAGGGCGACCAAAUCGGCGGGCGGUGACUCGAAUUCGUCCCGUCGCUUUUUGGAUAUGCACCAUCGCUCCCGCCAUCUCCCUCCCAUGCGCGGCGCGGCGCGGCGUUCCCCUCCCCUGCAUCACUCGAGCCUGGCUCGCUGGAAACAACCGAUUCGGUCAUUCCUAGCGGGCCAGGAUGAGGGGUGCUUUGAGGUUCAUGCUAUGCGGACCAAACAAUAAACACAGGCAUCCAAACAGCCAUUUUCAUCCUGUGAGGGCCCGGCUGGGCCUAAUGCAGGCUACCAGACGCGUCCUUAAUGGAUUGUAUGAAACAAUGAAAACUUAGAGAAUGGACAAAACCAAGUGUGUUUGUGCAACACACCUCAAUGAAGUAAAAUAGAAGUUCAUGGUGUGAUCACAACCCGAAAUAGAUGAACAGAUUGUUCAUUAGUACAUGCAACACUAUAAUAUACAUUUCUGCACCAGAGCUCAUCAGAUCUCAGUGAACAGUAAAAUGAAAAAAAAAUACUAGAAAAAUUCAAAAAAAUCUGAACUUUUUUUUGCAAGUAAGAUGUUUGAAUGCGUGAGGUCCGUGCCAAUUUUCAGCACGUUUGAACAUCUGAGUAGCUCUCGGCAAAAAAAGGAUCCAAACAGUGCACGAACAAUAAACUUUUCACAGACCCUGAUUUUAUUUUUUAUAAGAGCUACUCAGAUAUCAAAACACACUCAAAUUGACAAGAACAUCACGCAUUCAAACAACUUUCAUGCCAAAAAAAUUAAAAAAUGUAAAAUUUCUAGUAUUUUUCUAUUUUACUGUUCACGUCGCAGUCGCGCGCCGCCACACUCACUUGCACAAAGAAGGGCCUGGCAGCGAGCUCAAGACAUCAGAAGUGUAUCUUGGAGCGACGGAAGUAGAGCCCACAUCCGUCCACUGGCUUCGACGAAUCCGAGUCAUGGAAGGUGGCAGGGAGGAGGUACAGCGAGUCGGCGACGACUGGGUCGAGGAGACGAUGAGCGUCGAGCGGGGAAAGCAUGAGGUCAAGGAGAGGUGUGGGAGGCCGGUGGCGGCGGUGCCAUACUUGGGAUCUUACGGAUUUAAGGAAAAAGGCAAUGGUGGGUGAGUCGGGGCACUGUGGCUCGACAACCAGUGCACGGCGUUGGUCGAACGGUUUGGAUCUGGUGGCAGGUUGUAGGAUCGAAAGGAGUGUCUAGGAGGGGUGAAUAGACAACUAGCAUGAGUCAAUGGGCAAUCUUAAGUUCUUUAACAUUUAGGCGGAUUUUAGCACAAUCUAAAGUAGUACAAGCAUACUCUACACAAGCAUACCUAGAGCAUAGGCAACAGAAAGAAAAAUCGGUCAUGCCCGUGCAAGAAAGUAAGGAGUAGAAUUUGAGAGAAUCGCAAACAAUGGUUGACACAGAAGAUUUUUGACCCGCGGUCCCGAUAGGUCGUGAUAUCGUACGUCCACGGUUGAUGGAAGCUUCAAUCAUAAGGAUUACGUUUAUGGAUUCCAUAGAGGAAUCGAGUCCACAGAGGGCUCACACACACGAAGGAUCCAUGAAGAAGCAACAUUGCCUAUUCCAUCAUGGCAUACACCCAUGAAGGGUUGGCCUCACUAGGGUAGAUCUUCACGAAGUAGGCGAUUUUCUUGCCCUCACAAACUUCUUGGUUUCUCCACACGAUUUGGAGACUCCCAAGCAAACCUAGCCAAUCUAGGAGGCACCAUCCUCCAAAAGGUAAUAGAUGGUGUUGUUGAUGAUGAACUCCUUGCUCUUGUGCUUUAAAACAUAAUCUCCUUAACACUAAUACUCUCUCAUAGAUUUUGACUUUUGGAUAGGAGUGGUUUGGGUGGAAAGCAAUGAGGUGACUAGAAAUCAAAGGAUCAACGGUUCGAGUGGAUCCCUUUGAAAUCAACACAAGGAAUGGGAGCUCUCUCUCUCUCUCUGAAAUAUGGAUGUGUAAUGUGUUUACUUCGAGAGACAAUGGUCGAGUGGGUGGGGGCAUAUAUAGGCGGCACAAAAAACUGACUGUUACGCACCUUUUAGCACAUCUUGGUGAGACCGGCUGAAAACACACGGUCAGACCGAAUAGUAGAAAUGUUUGAACUUUAGAUACUUUGGUGACUCCAGAUGAAACUAUCCGGUGACACCAAGUUGUGCUCACCUAAGCACUUUACACACUUCGGUAAUUCUGACUGAAACCAUUCAGAAAUUCAGAACGAGUUGUAGUAGGCAACACAAGGUUAUAAGUGAUCUUCGGUGAGACCAAAGGGUCAACUUGGUGGGACCGAAAAGUUAGGGUUUUAGGCAACGACUAUAUCAUGAUGGCUCGGUGACUCUGAUUGGUUUGGUUCAGUGAGUCCGAGUUGAACUUUUAGUUUGUGAAAUAGUGGGAUCAUGUGAAAUGAUAUGAGGAUUUGGGAGUUUGAUCUUUAAUCACUUGAGCAAUGAACUCAUCAUCUCCUCAUAAGUUAGAGACCUUUCGGUCCAAAAAACUGCCCUAAGCCAAUGUACAACGCAAUGCACUUAGGAGAGGUGCUUAAAGAAAUAAAUUAUUCUUCAAGCACCGAUGCUUAUUUGUAGAAGGUACAAGCCUAAUUAGAGCAUCUCCAACGCCGACCCUUAACCGCCCGCAACCGCACGGUCCAAACGUGUUUUGCCAUCCAACGCGGUUCUAUAAUAUGUAUCAGUCCAGACAUGUUUUUCCUCAAAAACCGGAAACAAACCGGGGUACUUUGCGGGCGUCUGGACCGUUGCCACGCCCGCAUCCAACAACCAUUGCCCACCCAAACCCUCCCCUCGCCCGCGCACUUUCCCUCUCGAAGCCAGCUAUUCGCGUGCCGCUCUAGAACAACCGCUCCGCAUUGACGCCGGGACGUGACCUCUCACUGGCACCCGCACUAAAGCGGAUCACUUGCCGAGGGCACCACCCACGCCGCGUUCCCGGUGUCCGCACAUGUUCAAUGCCGGAGUGACGUUUACUGGACGGGAUGGGACGGAUAUCUACCGUGCCCGUUUAAUGCCUGUUUGUCCGUCUGCCACCAUUAGUAGGCUCACCGGCCGAGGAAUCAACUCCGACGCCCGCGCAUUUGGCGCACUGGGAUGCUUAGCCUCACCGAAGUGUGCUAUUUAAAGGCGACCACAACACAUCCACUCCACAUCUUCCUCCCGUGCACCACAUCUGCCACGACCGCGAACGGGAACGCUUUCUGGAAGAGCCUCUCGACCCAGCAAAAACACGAGGUGGCCGCCUCGCAGAGGCGUCGUGCCAGGCAGAUCGAGACCGGCAUGUCGGCCAGCUCCCUCGUGUCUUCAACGGCAACCCCAUGACGGAGAUGGGCUUUGGCGACGACUCGGCGCGGGAGCCCGCGCCGGUGCAUGCCGACUUACCAUGGAGCAAGCGAGGCGCACUUCACUGUGGCCAUGGCGGAGGAGGGCAAAUUUGACAAAUUUAACCUAUAGACGAAAUCAAAUCACAGAAUGAACUAUCCGUGAAACUAUUUCACGCGGCUGACCUUUUUGUGUGACGCCCGACACGAAGGCGCCACACUACACUGUGUAACGCCUAACAGAUAGGCGCUACACGGCCAGCGUCGCACCCGUGUGAUCAGAAAAUUACUAAGUCAGUGUGCAGCGCCUGAGAGCUAGGCGCCACACUAUACAGUGUAGCGCCUAGCUCCUAGGCGUUGCACUAGUGCAGCGCCUAGCUCCCAAGCGUUGCACUAGUGCAGCGCCUGAGAGCUAGGCGCCAUUGCACUAGUGCAGCGUCUGAGAGCUAGGCGCCACGGGUCAGCCGCGUGAAAUAGUUUUACGGACAGUUCAUUCUGUGAUUUGAUUUCGUCUAUAAGUUAAAUUUGUCAAAUUUGCCGCAGAGGAGCAGCCUGUGUUGGCACCUAUUCCGGUAUUCUGCAGGCUUACAACUUGUUCCUCUCCUCCUCGUGCAACCCCAGCUGGCGGAGGGCCAAACCUACAGCAAGUGUGCGAGCGAGGAGGUCGUAGCGGCCAUGGCCACGGCGAACCCCAACUUCUUAACGCAGAGCUGGCGUAGCCAGAUGCGGAUGUGGCGCUGGGAUAGAGGACAAGAAGACAAGAACACUGCGCGUCCUAUGUGCAGGCAGGAUCAUUCGAGGGCGCAUGUGGCAGGAGGGCAGGCAUUUUCAUGUUCAGCCGGAAGAGUUUAGACAAGACUCUAAUUAGGCCUUGAACAAUCAAAAAAUUGUUUUUUUGUUAAACACGGAUCACAGGAGAAACGAGGCACCCCUCAUGUAAUUGGUGCUUUUUAGAAAGAAAAAAACUAAUAUUCGUAUUUUCUUAAGCUUUGCUCAUUGACUCCCCGGUGAGGCGGUACGGAUGUUCCGUUAAGCAAGGUUCCCCUACCAUAUCUGCAGUCGAUUUUGUUGCCGUGAGCAAAUCCCACUGGAAGCACUCUUAAGCAUACGAAUUACUAGUUCAGGCGUCUCCAAGCGAACAGAAGACACAUGCAUGAAGAUUCUACCAAGCACAGAAGCGCCAUUUAUUACCAAAGCUCUCCACGAACCAUUUCUACUGUCACUUGAAGAUAAUUUAACUAGGUACACCACUGACGGAUUUGUUACAGUAUUUCUCGCAACGGGAUACAGAAUCAGGCAAAACCGGGGCCAACACAUCCAACGACCAACUCUCGUCCCCCCCUCGCAAAAUCUGGCGUUGGAAGCUGCCUUGCCAAAACAUGUUUCCCCCUCCUCUACCUGUCUGCUGCUAGACAGACCGAUGCUCAGAGCUCGUCCUUCAGAGGCUCG